AAAAAAAAAAAAAAAAACCUAUUUGAUAAAGAAAACGAUCUCUCGUCAAAAAUCCACAUAGUACUAGAUCGAAGGAAACAAAAAUGAGCAAAAGUAGAUCAAAUCUGAAAAUUUCAGUACAUGUCAAGAUCGAGACGAGAACAAUGAAUCGCAGAAAGAUCGAAAGCAAAAGUAGAAUUUACCAUUUUUCCCUGAGCUUGUUAAU
Molecule: unclassified non-coding RNA, 205 nt
Filed under: Hevea brasiliensis (rubber tree)
Lineage: Eukaryota; Viridiplantae; Streptophyta; Magnoliopsida; Malpighiales; Euphorbiaceae
Source: RNAcentral